CUAAUGAUGGGUUCCAAAGCUUCAGCCAUGUUUUUCAUUCUCUCAAUCUUCAUGGCCUUAUCUUUGCCCCCAAUUUAUGCUUGCACUCCUUGUACUCAGCCCCACCCUCCUCAGCCCCCUUAUCACCGCCCUUCCCACCCUAAAAUUCCCCAUCCAAAACCCCACCCUCCUCACCACGGCGGUGGAGGAGGCGGAGGCGGUGGUGGCGGUGGCAGUCGUGGAGGAGGUGGUGGCGGAGGUGGUGGCAGCCGUGGAGGUGGUGGUGGAGGUGGCGGAGGUGGCGGUGGACAUCAUCCCCACCCACCAAUUGUAAUUCCCCCACCAGUUAUCUCCCCACCAGUGAUAACCCCACCAGUGAUAACCCCUCCAGUGAUAACCCCUUCACCACCAUCUACAACCUACCCUCCUUACACUAGCCCUCCUCCUAGUGGGGGUGGUGGAGGUGGAGGUGGAGGUGGCGGCGGUGGCGGUGGAGGUGGUGGUGGACCAGGCUCAGGGCAAUACCCUCCACCAGCGCCGCCGGUUCAACCGACGUGCCCAAUAGAUGCAUUGAAAUUAGGUUUAUGUGUGGAUGUUCUUGGAGGGUUGGUGCAUAUUGGUCUAGGGAAUCCAGUUGAGAAUGCAUGUUGUCCAGUGCUUGGAGGGCUAUUGGAACUUGAAGCAGCAGUAUGUUUGUGUACAACUUUGAGGAUUAAGCUUUUGAAUCUCAAUAUAUUCAUUCCUUUGGCACUACAAG
Molecule: long non-coding RNA, 736 nt
Filed under: Cucumis sativus (cucumber)
Lineage: Eukaryota; Viridiplantae; Streptophyta; Magnoliopsida; Cucurbitales; Cucurbitaceae
Description: long non-coding RNA (CSAT_LNC000844)
Source: RNAcentral